RNAcentral lists this transfer-messenger RNA (401 nucleotides) under uncultured Prevotella sp. It matches the Rfam family "transfer-messenger RNA". From Rfam's summary of the family: Bacterial tmRNA, also known as 10Sa RNA or SsrA, is named for its dual tRNA and mRNA-like properties. Its role is to liberate the mRNA from a stalled ribosome. The record is from RNAcentral. Lineage: Bacteria; Pseudomonadati; Bacteroidota; Bacteroidia; Bacteroidales; Prevotellaceae.
GGGGUUGACUGGAUUUGACAGCAAGCCGAGAUGGUACGUAAGCAUGCGGAGUGACGGCUGUGGACUCCAUAAUCACGUCGGUCAGAAAAUUAAUUGGCGAAAACAAUUACGCUCUCGCUGCCUAAUCGAAGCAUAGUAGAUUACUGGCUUUAUCGUCUUACAAGGUAGGACGACGAGACAUCGCUCCGAGGAUGUUGUUCCGAAUCCAAAGAUCAAGCGGUGCAGGUUAAAUCGGAAAUAGUCGCGUGGGCGCCUCGACUGUGUGAUGAAAUCUUUAGAGGAUAAGGCUGUGAUUGGUGGCUUGGGUCUUGUCACAGCCCGACAAUGAAGGCCAAGAUAAGCAUGUAGAAAGCGUAUGGUUUCCUUGUUUGGACGAGGGUUCGACUCCCUCCAGCUCCACA